UAGAAGGUAGUAUAGAGGUCGUAUUAAGAGUUUUGGGCUCUUAGGUUCAAGUUCGAUUCUUGACUUUCUAGU
This 72-nucleotide transfer RNA is filed under the name Pseudoxenodon bambusicola. Its description in RNAcentral is "tRNA-Gln". It matches the Rfam family "tRNA". Rfam says of the family: Transfer RNA (tRNA) molecules are approximately 80 nucleotides in length. Their secondary structure includes four short double-helical elements and three loops (D, anti-codon, and T loops). Further hydrogen bonds mediate the characteristic L-shaped molecular structure. tRNAs have two regions of fundamental functional importance: the anti-codon, which is responsible for specific mRNA codon recognition, and the 3' end, to which the tRNAs corresponding amino acid is attached (by aminoacyl-tRNA synthetases). tRNAs cope with the degeneracy of the genetic code in two manners: having more than one tRNA (with a specific anti-codon) for a particular amino acid; and 'wobble' base-pairing, i.e. permitting non-standard base-pairing at the 3rd anti-codon position. Lineage: Eukaryota; Metazoa; Chordata; Lepidosauria; Squamata; Pseudoxenodontidae. The record is from RNAcentral.